Molecule: long non-coding RNA, 1289 nt
Organism: Sarcophilus harrisii (Tasmanian devil)
Lineage: Eukaryota; Metazoa; Chordata; Mammalia; Dasyuromorphia; Dasyuridae
Exons: 3
Source: RefSeq, a predicted model, not a curated record
AACCAACCUUUUUUGGCGAGACUGCAGAUUUUCUUCGGCUGAGUUUCCUUCACUUGGAACAAAUCUAUUCUCUUUGAUUCAAUUUAUUUGGAAUAUGGAUGGAGAUAAGGAAGAGAAUGACUACCACUACACGUACCAAUGUGGAUGAGAUUACCUAAGAUGAAGACACCCACUUUGGAACUGGGAGAAGAAGGGUAUGCUUUGCACGUGUUUUAUGACUAGCUUUCAAAAUAAAUCUGCACAAGGUAUAUUUUCAGGCUUAUUUUGCAUUAUUAACACAUUCUCCAUCAGCUUAAGUCUAUAAAAUCAACAAAACAAUAAAUCAAGUUUGGAUUUGUAGCAUUUGGGGUUUUCUGAAGUAUAACUGCACUGAAAAUGUAAUAUUUGGCUCUAAAAAGUAAAUAUAUUACUGGAGACCUGAUUCUGUGAGAAGACAUUCUUCUUAAUUGACCUUCCAUGUGCUUGAAAGCAGUCUCUUCCAUUGAUUCUGUAACUUGAUCUGUUUGCAUCCUUAAAUCUACCUGAUUAAGUUAUUCUUCUGCUAGCAUCCAAGGGUGAAAAACUCAUUCAUUCAACUAGCAACUUCUCCCUCAACUUAGUCCCUGUGACACUUAGAAAUAGACUUAGAAUUUUAGUUUUUUCACUUGUACAUUUUUAAAAUUUAUUUCCAUGUGCAGGGAGAGAAGUUGGGACCUUGAGCCAUAAGGACAUUGCAAUCCAGUUUUAAAAUUGAGGUGUUACUACCCCUGAAAAUGGUGACUAAAAAGCCAAGGCUCCAUGAUAUAAAUGCCCAAAGGCCUUGAGAGGUAGAAUUUAAUGGUUCUUAAUGUUAUUCAGGAACUGAGCUAAAUUGUAAAAAUACUUAUAAAUUUGCUUGUUAUGCCUCUUUAGUAAAUGUUUCCUCCAAAAAGCAAUUGAAGUUUUAGUAAUUAAAUGGAACUGGAACACUGGGACUUCUAAAAUCGAAAUAGUGUAAUUGGUGGGAGCUUAAACAAGUGGAAAAGGUGAGAGACUUAAUAAUCAUGGGAGGGGACAAGGGAGGGUGAUGGCACAUGCACAGAGUAACCAUUGUUAUAUUAGGAAAGAAUUAUAAUAAGGCCUUAAAGCAGCUAGAUGGCACAUUGGAUAGAGUUAAAGGAAGGAAUUAAAGGAGUUAAAGUAAGGAAUUAAAUAGAAUUAAAUUAAGGAAGACAUAUUUUCCUAAAUUCUAAUCUGACUUCAAACAUUAACUAUCUGUGUGAUCCUGGGCAAGUAACUUAACUCUGUUUGCUUCAUUUUUUUAAUCUAUA